Molecule: long non-coding RNA, 574 nt
Filed under: Ictidomys tridecemlineatus (thirteen-lined ground squirrel)
Lineage: Eukaryota; Metazoa; Chordata; Mammalia; Rodentia; Sciuridae
Description: lncRNA (ENSSTOG00000029957.1)
Source: RNAcentral
AAUGGUCAUUUUCUUAAAUUUUGGAUGUAUUUAGAAUUCUAAAUAAUUUCCACAGAGUUCUAUUUCUAAUCUAGUUUUAUUUCAUGCAAACUUGGUAGAAUUAAACUUUUCGGUGAUUUUUAUUUUCAGCCUAAUAAAGAUGUUGUGGAACAAAUGGAAAAAUGCAUUCAAGAAAAAGAUGAAAAGUUAAAGACUGUAGAAGAAUUACUUGAAACUGGACUUAUUCAGGUGGCCACUAAAGAGGAGGAACUGAAUGCAAUAAGAACAGAAAAUUCAUCUCUGACGAAAGAAGUUCAAGACUUAAAGGCUAAGCAAAAUGAUCAGGUUUCUUUUGCAUCUUUAGUUGAAGAACUUAAGAAAGUGAUCCAUGAGAAAGAUGGAAAGAUCAAGUCUGUGGAAGAGCUUCUGGAAGCUGAAGUUCUCAAAGUUGCUAAUAAGGAGAAAACUGUUCAGGAUUUGAAACAGGAAAUAGAGACUCUAAAAGAAGAAAUAGGAAAUAUCCAGCUUGAAAAGGCUCAACAGGUAAAAAUCUAAGAGCCAUAGCAUGACAGAUUUAUAGUGUAUAUGAUAUUUA